This 403-nucleotide unclassified non-coding RNA is filed under the name soil metagenome. RNAcentral's name for it is "partial contains 5.8S ribosomal RNA, internal transcribed spacer 2, and large subunit ribosomal RNA". The stretch from base 1 to 122 matches the Rfam family "5.8S ribosomal RNA", at positions 35 to 154 of the family's 154-position model. The record is from RNAcentral.
GAUGAAGAACGUAGCAAAAUGCGAUACUUGGUGUGAAUUGCAGAAUCCCGUGAACCAUCGAGUUUUUGAACGCAAGUUGCGCCCGAAGCCUUUUGGCCGAGGGCACGUCUGCCUGGGCGUCACGCAUCGCGUCGCCCCCCACAAUUCUCCGUAAAAGGAACAUGUGUUUUGGGGGCGGAUAUUGGUCUCCCGUGCUCAUGGCGUGGUUGGCCGAAAUAGGAGUCCUUUCGAUGGACGCACGAACUUGUGGUGGUCGUAAAAACCCUCGUCUUUUGUUUCGUGCUGUUGCUCGCAAGGUAAACUCUUUAAAAACCCCAAUGUGUCGUCUCUUGACGACGCUUCGACCGCGACCCCAGGUCAGGCGGGACUACCCGCUGAGUUUAAGCAUAUCAAUAAGCGGAGG